This 500-nucleotide ribosomal RNA is filed under the name uncultured bacterium. RNAcentral's name for it is "partial 16S ribosomal RNA". It matches the Rfam family "Bacterial small subunit ribosomal RNA", at positions 899 to 1397 of the family's 1533-position model. The record is from RNAcentral.
ACUCAAAUGAAUUGACGGGGGCCCGCACAAGCGGUGGAGCAUGUGGUUUAAUUCGACGCAACGCGAAGAACCUUACCCAGACUUGACAUCGAUGGAAUCUGGUAGAGAUAUCGGAGUGCCCUUCGGGGCCCAGAAGACAGGUGCUGCAUGGCUGUCGUCAGCUCGUGUCGUGAGAUGUUGGGUUAAGUCCCGCAACGAGCGCAACCCUUGCCGUUAGUUGCCAUCAGGUAAAGCUGGGCACUCUAACGGGACUGCCGGUGUCAAACCGGAGGAAGGUGGGGAUGACGUCAAGUCCUCAUGGCCUUUAUGUCUGGGGCUACACACGUGCUACAAUGGCUACUACAGAGCGUCGCGAAGCCGCGAGGUGGAGCAAAUCGCCAAAAAGUAGUCUCAGUUCGGAUUGAAGUCUGCAACUCGACUUCAUGAAGCUGGAAUCGCUAGUAAUCGUGGAUCAGAACGCCACGGUGAAUACGUUCCCGGGCCUUGUACACACCGCCCGU